Molecule: non-coding RNA, 48 nt
Filed under: Pelagimonas phthalicica
Lineage: Bacteria; Pseudomonadati; Pseudomonadota; Alphaproteobacteria; Rhodobacterales; Roseobacteraceae
Description: SAM-SAH-Weickhmann-2018 RNA
Rfam family: SAM/SAH riboswitch aptamer
Source: RNAcentral
CCGCCACAACGGCUUCCUGACGUGGCGGUGUCAUUUUUGAAUGGAGCA